This 592-nucleotide ribosomal RNA is filed under the name uncultured bacterium. RNAcentral's name for it is "bacterial SSU rRNA". It matches the Rfam family "Bacterial small subunit ribosomal RNA", at positions 334 to 917 of the family's 1533-position model. The record is from RNAcentral.
UACUCCUACGGGAGGCAGCAGUGGGGAAUAUUGGACAAUGGGCGCAAGCCUGAUCCAGCCAUACCGCGUGGGUGAAGGAGGCCUUCGGGUUGUAAAGCCCUUUUGUUGGGAAAGAAAUCCAGCUGGUUAAUACCCGGUUGGGAUGACGGUACCCAAAGAAUAAGCACCGGCUAACUUCGUGCCAGCAGCCGCGGUAAUACGAAGGGUGCAAGCGUUACUCGGAAUUACUGGGCGUAAAGCGUGCGUAGGUGGUCGUUUAAGUCCGUUGUGAAAGCCCUGGGCUCAACCUGGGAACUGCAGUGGAUACUGGACGACUAGAGUGUGGUAGAGGGUAGCGGAAUUCCUGGCGUAGCAGUGAAAUGCGUAGAGAUCAGGAGGAACAUCCAUGGCGAAGGCAGCUACCUGGACCAACACUGACACUGAGGCACGAAAGCGUGGGGAGCAAACAGGAUUAGAUACCCUGGUAGUCCACGCCCUAAACGAUGCGAACUGGAUGUUGGGUGCAAUUUGGCACGCAGUAUCGAAGCUAACGCGUUAAGUUCGCCGCCUGGGGAGUACGGUCGCAAGACUGAAACUCAAAUGAAUUGACGGA